Non-coding RNA from Vicia faba (fava bean), 281 nucleotides. Lineage: Eukaryota; Viridiplantae; Streptophyta; Magnoliopsida; Fabales; Fabaceae. The record is from the annotation of a GenBank genome assembly.
AAAACACCAAAAACCUCUCAAACUUUUUCUCUAUUCUCUCAACUCACAAAAAAGAGAAAAGUCACAAAUCACCACAAAUCACCAACACAACCACCUUGCACCACCAUCGCAAAAGCUCAGACCACCACAUUGGUCCCUCCACCACUCCCUUCCACUAUGAAGGAAGCUGCACGAGCUCCUCCCUUGCGCUUAGCGCCAACAUCAAAGCUGGUACUCCCUCCAUCAAGGCCUCGAUCGCGGCGAGCUUCUCUCUCUGUUUCGUGCAUUUAUGGCACCGGUAG